UACGUAGGGGGCAAGCGUUGUCCGGAAUUAUUGGGCGUAAAGCGCGCGCAGGCGGUCAUUUAAGUCUGGUGUUUAAUCCCGGGGCUCAACUCCGGGUCGCACUGGAAACUGGGUGGCUUGAGUGCAGAAGAGGAGAGUGGAAUUCCACGUGUAGCGGUGAAAUGCAUAGAGAUGUGGAGGAACACCAGUGGCGAAGGCGACUCUCUGGGCUGUAACUGACGCUGAGGCGCGAAAGCGUGGGUAGCAAACAGG
Molecule: ribosomal RNA, 252 nt
Filed under: uncultured bacterium
Lineage: Bacteria
Description: partial 16S ribosomal RNA
Rfam family: Bacterial small subunit ribosomal RNA
Source: RNAcentral